GACGAACGCUGGCGGCGUGCCUAAUACAUGCAAGUAGAACGCUGAAGAGAGGCGCUUGCUCUUCUUGGAUGAGUUGCGAACGGGUGAGUAACGCGUAGGUAACCUGCCUUGUAGCGGGGGAUAACUAUUGGAAACGAUAGCUAAUACCGCAUAACAAUGGAUGACACAUGUCAUUUAUUUGAAAGUGGCAAUUGCUCCACUACAAGAUGGACCUGCGUUGUAUUAGCUAGUAGGUGAGGUAAUGGCUCACCUAGGCGACGAUACAUAGCCGACCUGAGAGGGUGGUCGGCCACACUGGGACUGAGACACGGCCCAGACUCCUACGGGAGGCAGCAGUAGGGAAUCUUCGGCAAUGGGGGCAACCCUGACCGAGCAACGCCGCGUGAGUGAAGAAGGUUUUCGGAUCGUAAAGCUCUGUUGUAAGUCAAGAACGGGUGUGAGAGUGGAAAGUUCACACUGUGACGGUAGCUUACCAGAAAGGGACGGCUAACUACGUG
This 497-nucleotide ribosomal RNA is filed under the name uncultured bacterium. RNAcentral's name for it is "partial 16S ribosomal RNA". It matches the Rfam family "Bacterial small subunit ribosomal RNA", at positions 28 to 507 of the family's 1533-position model. The record is from RNAcentral.